This is a non-coding RNA of Paramisgurnus dabryanus, 1494 nucleotides long. NCBI's taxonomy places the organism in Eukaryota, Metazoa, Chordata, Actinopteri, Cypriniformes, Cobitidae. The record is from RefSeq and is a predicted model, not a curated record.
GCACUGUAAGCAAUUGCCGUAAAUUUACAGCCAAUUUUCAACACUAAAAUACUGUUUUCAUGUUAAACAGUUUAGUACUGUAGUUAGCAAUGCAUUGUGGGCUGCUUAAAUUGGAGCAACAAGACAGAGGCCCUCAACAGUAAGUUGAUGUUUUAAAUUACAGGACAAUACAGUAUUUUCUCGAAAAUGCAUGUUGACUGGGGAAUUUGGAGCACGGUCAGAAGCAAUAUUAGUUUUAUAAAUUGAGGCUAGCCUUUUGCUUUUGGUCAAUUUUCUUUAAAAAAAUACAGAAGUAAUUUGUCAUUAACCCCUGGAUGGAAUUUCGGGAACCAUUAUUUGGAUUGGAGAUUUUCCAGAAGAGGACGUACAAUUUAGAUGACGUGCUGCACAUUCUCAAGUGUUCUUCAUCAAAUUCAUCGGGUCUUGCAUCUACAAAUGAAACGGUAAUUCAAAUCUUAUUCAUAUUGCCAAAAAUGCUUGAUAUCAACUGAUAGAAGCUUCUCUUGCUAGGGAUUUAAACAUGUCAUUGAACAGUGAGGCUUAGAUUUGAAUAGCCAAAACAAUAUUACUUUUGAGUGGUAUUUUGUUUAAUUUUGGUAAAGUUGGACGUAGGCUACUUCUGAAUUUGAGAAACAACACUUAUUAAAAAAUUUACUUUAACCAAACCAUAGGUUUAUUUGAACAAAAUUUUAUUUUGUUUGUGUCGACUUUUAAUGAAAAGUUAAAAGUUUGGUUAAAGUUGAAUAGUCAAGGCUUUGCAUUUUUCUUUUUAAACGCCAAAUUGGUGUGAAAAUAUUGUCUUUCUGGACUCUUUGUGAAUGCAAUGUGUGUACUAGUUUGUGGGAGUACUACUACAUAUGUAAAAAGAGAGGUGUAAAUAUUUUUUUGGCUCAAAGGAAGCUGCAUGUAAGCUACGUGUGACAACAUGGAGUUAAAAAGAUAAAUUGUUACCCUUUAAAUUUUGAAUGUCAAAUCUAUUUAGAAGUUUGAUUGUAGGUACCUCGUUCACGUCUUGGUUACAUUCCACCUAGUGUUUACUAAUUAUUGUCCUUUUUAUAAAUUUUCUUCUUAAAAAUCUUAUUAUGGUAAGGAUAAUGUAUUUGUUCCCUUCAGGUGUCUGCCACUGCAGCUGACGUUGAGACAACUCUCAGUCUUCCUGCAAGUCCUCGCCUGAUACCUGUUUCAAGUGCAACAAGGCAAGUCACAAUUAAGGGUUGGAUGAUCACCUUUAAGGGCUCUGAGGGCAUCACACCAACAUUUGAAAUUGGACUUGCUGCUAUGUUUGCAACCUACUACAUUUUCAGCCUUCAGUAUCAAGAUGAGACAGCCUGCCCUCUGGAAUUCAUUCAGAGGCACUUCAUUGAUAUAAAUCAAGAGAGAGGAACAAAUGCCAAAAUCAUCAGACAAGAUUGUCUCUAAGAAGAAAGGUGUGAUCGUCCAGAAGUCAUCUUCUGCAGUUAAAUACACACGUGGCCAUGCUACUGAAGGAUCUCC